This is a long non-coding RNA of Herpailurus yagouaroundi (jaguarundi), 461 nucleotides long. RefSeq lists it as uncharacterized. The record is from RefSeq and is a predicted model, not a curated record. The transcript is spliced from 2 exons. Lineage: Eukaryota; Metazoa; Chordata; Mammalia; Carnivora; Felidae.
UCCGAUUUCCCCAGCUUGGAGUCUGUCAGAAUCACCGACGGCAUUCUCACUGUGGGACAGAAGUCACUGUGGGGUGUGGUAGACUGUGCCAUGGCCCUGCAAUGACGUCUGUGCCCUGACACCUGCCUGGAACCUAUGGAUAGGUUGUUACAUGACCGAAAGGGACUUGGCAGGCACUUUGUUACACCAGAAAUAGACAACCAAUACCCUGAGCCUCCAGAGUAUGGACGCUGACCUACCAAGCCCUUUGGCUAAUAUGUACAUUCACCAAGCGUGCCGGAAGUGUCCCCUUCAUCACCAUUUGCAAACGUCAACUGAGAGCUGGACACCAGGCUAGUGGUUCCCACGUUCCUCUCGUCCCUAAACAUCAAGAGCUCUUACUGUGUGGUCACCCAGCCCCAUUAGCCAUUAGGCCUUGGCCCCUAGGCGGCCCAUCAGGGUAAAUUAAAACGAAAACAUUU